UGGCGGCGUGCUUAACACAUGCAAGUCGAGCGAUGAAGUUUCCUUCGGGAAACGGAUUAGCGGCGGACGGGUGAGUAACACGUGGGUAACCUGCCUCAUAGAGUGGAAUAGCCUUCCGAAAGGAAGAUUAAUACCGCAUAACGUUGAAAGAUGGCAUCAUCAUUCAACCAAAGGAGCAAUCCGCUAUGAGAUGGACCCGCGGCGCAUUAGCUAGUUGGUGGGGUAACGGCCUACCAAGGCGACGAUGCGUAGCCGACCUGAGAGGGUGAUCGGCCACAUUGGGACUGAGACACGGCCCAGACUCCUACGGGAGGCAGCAGUGGGGAAUAUUGCACAACGGGGGAAACCCUGAUGCAGCAACGCCGCGUGAGUGAUGAAGGUUUUCGGAUCGUAAAGCUCUGUCUUUGGGGAAGAUAAUGACGGUACCCAAGGAGGAAGCCACGGCUAACUACGUGCCAGCAGCCGCGGUAAUACGUAGGUGGCGAGCGUUAUCCGGAUUUACUGGGCGUAAAGGGAGCGUAGGCGGAUGAUUAAGUGGGAUGUGAAAUACCCAGGCUCAACUUGGGUGCUGCAUUCCAAACUGGUUAUCUAGAGUGCAGGAGAGGAGAGUGGAAUUCCUAGUGUAGCGGUGAAAUGCGUAGAGAUUAGGAAGAACACCAGUGGCGAAGGCGACUCUCUGGACUGUAACUGACGCUGAGGCUCGAAAGCGUGGGGAGCAAACAGGAUUUAGAUACCCUGGUAGUCCACGCCGUAAACGAUGAGUACUAGGUGUGGGGGUUUCAACACCUCCGUGCCGCCGCUAACGCAUUAAGUAUUCCGCCUGGGGAGUACGGUCGCAAGAUUAAAACUCAAAGGAAUUGACGGGGACCCGCACAAGUAGCGGAGCAUGUGGUUUAAUUCGAAGCAACGCGAAGAACCUUACCUACACUUGACAUCCCUUGCAUUACUCUUAAUCGAGGAAAUCCCUUCGGGGACAAGGUGACAGGUGGUGCAUGGUUGUCGUCAGCUCGUGUCGUGAGAUGUUGGGUUAAGUCCCGCAACGAGCGCAACCCUUGUCGUUAGUUACUACCAUUAAGUUGAGGACUCUAGCGAGACUGCCUGGGUUAACCAGGAGGAAGGUGGGGAUGACGUCAAAUCAUCAUGCCCCUUAUGUGUAGGGCUACACACGUGCUACAAUGGCUGGUACAGAGAGAUGCAAUACCGCGAGGUGGAGCCAAACUUAAAAACCAGUCUCAGUUCGGAUUGUAGGCUGAAACUCGCCUACAUGAAGCUGGAGUUACUAGUAAUCGCGAAUCAGAAUGUCGCGGUGAAUACGUUCCCGGGUCUUGUACACACCGCCCGUCACACCAUGAGAGUUGGCAAUACCCGAAGUCCGUGAGCUAACCGCAAGGAGGCAGCGGCCGAAGGUAGGGUCAGCGAUUGGGGUGAAGUAAG
This 1434-nucleotide ribosomal RNA is filed under the name uncultured organism. RNAcentral describes it as "SSU rRNA". It matches the Rfam family "Bacterial small subunit ribosomal RNA". The record is from RNAcentral.